This 714-nucleotide ribosomal RNA is filed under the name uncultured bacterium. RNAcentral's name for it is "bacterial SSU rRNA". It matches the Rfam family "Bacterial small subunit ribosomal RNA", at positions 152 to 883 of the family's 1533-position model. The record is from RNAcentral.
GGAAACGAAUGGUAAUACCACAUAACAUUACGUUCUCGCAUGGGGAUGUAAUCAAAGAUUUAUCGCUGAGAGAUGGACUCGCGUCCGAUUAGCUAGAUGGUGAGGUAACGGCCCACCAUGGCGACGAUCGGUAGCCGGACUGAGAGGUUGAACGGCCACAUUGGGACUGAGACACGGCCCAGACUCCUACGGGAGGCAGCAGUGGGGAAUAUUGCACAAUGGGGGAAACCCUGAUGCAGCAACGCCGCGUGAAGGAAGACGGUCUUCGGAUUGUAAACUUUUGUUCUUGGUGAAGAAGAAUGACGGUAGCCAAGGAGGAAGCCGCGGCUAACUACGUGCCAGCAGCCGCGGUAAUACGUAGGUGGCAAGCGUUGUCCGGAAUUACUGGGUGUAAAGGGAGCGCAGGCGGGAAAUCAAGUUGGAUGUGAAAUGUCGGGGCUUAACCCCGGAACUGCAUCCAAAACUGAUAUUCUUGAGUGAAGUAGAGGUAGGCGGAAUUCCGAGUGUAGCGGUGAAAUGCGUAGAUAUUCGGAGGAACACCAGUGGCGAAGGCGGCCUACUGGGCUUUAACUGACGCUGAGGCUCGAAAGUGUGGGGAGCAAACAGGAUUAGAUACCCUGGUAGUCCACACUGUAAACGAUGAUUGCUAGGUGUGGGGGGUCUGACCCCCUCCGUGCCGGAGUUAACGCAAUAAGCAAUCCACCUGGGGAGUAC